CAAAGAAAUAAAGCAUGUCGCUGGGAGCGUGCAGAGGCUCCACGAUAACGACAUGCUUCAAAACAAAAAGCGCAUCGCAUGAAUAAGAUUUCAUGCGAUGCGCUUUUGAAUAUCUGCGCAAAUUCGAAGCAAGCGGAAAUACUUUAGAAGG
This 151-nucleotide non-coding RNA is filed under the name Rhizobium sp. BK619. RNAcentral describes it as "sRNA CI27". It matches the Rfam family "Brucella sRNA CI27". Lineage: Bacteria; Pseudomonadati; Pseudomonadota; Alphaproteobacteria; Hyphomicrobiales; Rhizobiaceae. The record is from RNAcentral.